AUUGGCUCAUAGAGAACCUGGAGCGCAAGUCGGCUGCUCUUGCUUGCAGGAGAAUAUUCGGCGUGCACUCAUCUGAAAAAAUUGCGCAAGUCAUUGCCGAAAUUUAUGCCGGCUUUGGUCUGAGCCCGUCCAAUGUUAUUAUGACGGUGACAGACAAUGGAUCCAAUUUUGUUAAGGCUUUCAAGGAGUACGGGUGUACGGAAACUGAAACUUCUCAUGAAGAUGAAAGCGAAAACGAUUUGCCAGUUUUCCAAAACGAGCUGCUGCUGCCAAAGCAUCUUCGAUAUUGCAGCCACAUGCUGAAUUUACUUGCUUCCGCCGAUUACGUGAAGAUUUUGAGAAGUGAGCAGGCUUUGUAUAUCCAACAUUCGAUGACAUUCAAAAAAUGCAACGCCUUGUAGAGGAAGUGCAAAUGGCCGAAGUCGUCGGAAAUUAUUGUGGAAUGCUUGGGAUCGACAUUGUUUGUGCCCGUUGUAACUCGGUGGAAUUCACUGUUCGACGCAGUAACGAAGUUACUUUGGGCCAAGGACAAGUUGAAUCCUUUGUGCGAAAGACUCAGCUUGUCACAAUUUUCUCCGAGCGAUUUGCAGUAUCUGGAGAUGUACCAGUUGUUGAUGGUGCCUAUUGCUCGUGCCUUGAACUACCUUCAAGGAGAAAAUAACGUGAAUUACGGCUGCUUAAUUCCGACUCUGAUGACCCUCAGCAAUAGAUUAAAUAAGCUGCAAAACAAGCCAGAAAUGCAUCAAGUUUCCUCUGUGGUUGCUAAGUUGGAGCAGCGUUUAAGAGAUCGGUUUGACGCAUUUUUUACUUUAACUCUUUCAGUCGUGGUGGUUAGUGUCAAUAACCACCUCUUUCCGAUUUUUUAUAUUUAAAUCCACGCCAACUACCGACAAUCGCGUG
This is a long non-coding RNA of Bactrocera dorsalis (oriental fruit fly), 900 nucleotides long. RefSeq lists it as uncharacterized. The record is from RefSeq and is a predicted model, not a curated record. Lineage: Eukaryota; Metazoa; Arthropoda; Insecta; Diptera; Tephritidae. The transcript is spliced from 3 exons.